RNAcentral lists this ribosomal RNA (843 nucleotides) under uncultured Actinomycetes bacterium. Its description in RNAcentral is "bacterial SSU rRNA". It matches the Rfam family "Bacterial small subunit ribosomal RNA", at positions 669 to 1510 of the family's 1533-position model. Lineage: Bacteria; Bacillati; Actinomycetota; Actinomycetes. The record is from RNAcentral.
CCUGGUGUAGCGGUGAAAUGCGCAGAUAUCAGGAGGAACACCGAUGGCGAAGGCAGGUCUCUGGGCCACUACUGACGCUGAGAAGCGAAAGCAUGGGGAGCGAACAGGAUUAGAUACCCUGGUAGUCCAUGCCGUAAACGUUGGGAACUAGGUGUGGGUCUCAUUCCACGAGAUCCGUGCCGCAGCUAACGCAUUAAGUUCCCCGCCUGGGGAGUACGGCCGCAAGGCUAAAACUCAAAGGAAUUGACGGGGGCCCGCACAAGCGGCGGAGCAUGCGGAUUAAUUCGAUGCAACGCGAAGAACCUUACCAAGGCUUGACAUAUACCGGAAACACCUAGAGAUAGGUGCCCCGCAAGGUCGGUAUACAGGUGGUGCAUGGUUGUCGUCAGCUCGUGUCGUGAGAUGUUGGGUUAAGUCCCGCAACGAGCGCAACCCUCGUUCUAUGUUGCCAGCACGUAAUGGUGGGGACUCAUAGGAGACUGCCGGGGUCAACUCGGAGGAAGGUGGGGAUGACGUCAAAUCAUCAUGCCCCUUAUGUCUUGGGCUUCACGCAUGCUACAAUGGCCGGUACAAAGGGCUGCGAUACCGCAAGGUGGAGCGAAUCCCAAAAAACCGGUCUCAGUUCGGAUUGGGGUCUGCAACUCGACCCCAUGAAGUCGGAGUCGCUAGUAAUCGCAGAUCAGCAACGCUGCGGUGAAUACGUUCCCGGGCCUUGUACACACCGCCCGUCAAGUCACGAAAGUCGGUAACACCCGAAGCCGGUGGCCCAACUCUUUGAGGGGGAGCCGUCGAAGGUGGGACUGGCGAUUGGGACUAAGUCGUAACAAGGUACCAAUCCCGCGG